GCACACGCACACUUGCUCCUUUGAUCAGAGCAGAUGGCAGCGUUUGAGCAGGAAACAGGGAGCUCACAACCACAGAGACUCGUGCUCAUGCACAGUAUCCUGAGGGGUCAGACAUGCCUGUCUGACUGAAACCACAGGUCUGCUGGCUGUCAAAUCCUAAUCAGUAGGAAAUGUCUUCACAUGUUUCCGAGGGAACGGCACACUGUGAGGAGCGCUGUCGGUGUAAUUGUAAGAGGGAGCUUCCAGAGUACUGUUUGUCUGGUACGACUCUGGAUGUAGAAGAAAUCUGUGCGCGUAGCCGCAAGCCCAAAAGAAGUACUUGGCUGAAGUAGAUCUGACAGUGUGUGCUGGUGUUUGGCUGGUGUCAAGACGUCGAUGCAGAAGAAGAUGGACGGGAAAACCCCGGACAUCUUUGUCUUCUACCUCAGGCUGUGUUUGAUACCAUGCUUUUCCCGAGGGAACCUCAACAUGCUGCGACCCAGAUUAUGACCCAGCUGUCUGUGUUACUCUGGAAGAUGAUGAAUGUGGGUGGGAGACAGACAGGAACUCCAAUCCCCCUGAAGACCUUCUUAUAACAACAUCCGACCUCUCUGGAUAAGCGCUAUUCAAGACUUCUGAGGAAAACCUGAAACACAGGAGUCUCUGGCUGUAUAAAAUAAAAACAUCAACUGAC
Molecule: long non-coding RNA, 673 nt
Organism: Fundulus heteroclitus (mummichog)
Lineage: Eukaryota; Metazoa; Chordata; Actinopteri; Cyprinodontiformes; Fundulidae
Exons: 2
Source: RefSeq, a predicted model, not a curated record